UACAUUUUAGUAUAUGAUGUACUUAAAUUUUUGAUAUUUAAUGAAAUGGUUUAAUUCCAUUAGAUGUAA
Molecule: transfer RNA, 69 nt
Filed under: Hemerobius simulans
Lineage: Eukaryota; Metazoa; Arthropoda; Insecta; Neuroptera; Hemerobiidae
Also listed under: 2 other names
Description: tRNA-Gln
Source: RNAcentral